RNAcentral lists this ribosomal RNA (1366 nucleotides) under uncultured Bordetella sp. RNAcentral describes it as "partial 16S-23S ribosomal RNA intergenic spacer". It matches the Rfam family "Bacterial small subunit ribosomal RNA", at positions 60 to 1368 of the family's 1533-position model. Lineage: Bacteria; Pseudomonadati; Pseudomonadota; Betaproteobacteria; Burkholderiales; Alcaligenaceae. The record is from RNAcentral.
AGUCGAACGGCAGCACGGACUUCGGUCUGGUGGCGAGUAGCGAACGGGUGAGUAAUGUAUCGGAACGUGCCUAGUAGCGGGGGAUAACUUGCAGAAGCGUAGCUAAUACCACAUACGCCUUCGGGGAAAAGCGGGGGACCUUCGGGCCUCGCUAUGAAGCAGCCGAUAUCGGAUUAGCUAGUUGGUGGGAGUAACAGCUCCGCAAGGCGACGAUCCGUAGCUGGUUUGAGAGGACGACCAGCCACACUGGGACUGAGACACGGCCCAGACUCCUACAGGAGAGCAGCAGUGGGAAUUUUUGGACAAUAAACCUGAUCCAGCCAUCCCGCGUGUGCGAUGAAGGCCUUCAGGUUGUAAAGCACUUUUGGCAGGAAAGAAACGGCACAGGAUAAUACCCCGUGCAACUGACGGUACCUACCCAGAAUAAACGCGCUUCGCUACGUUAUUAGCAACAGCCGCGGUAAUACGUAGGGUGCAAGCGUUAAUCGAGGUUACUGGGCGUAAAGCGUGCGCAGGCGGUUCCGGAAGAAAGAUGUAGAAAUCCCAGAGCUUCUUUGGAACUGCGUGCAUACCGAGCUAGAGUGUGUCAGAGGGAGGUGGAAUUCCGCGUGUAGCAGUGAAAUGCGUAGAUAUGCGGAGGAACACCGAUGAGCAGCCUCCUGGGAUAACACUGACGCUCUCAUGCGCGAAAGCAUUGGGAGCAGAAGCAAGUUAGAUACCCUGGUAGUCCACGCCCUAAACGUUCAACUAGCUGUUGGGGCCUUCGGGCCUUGGUAGCGCAACUAACGCGUGAAGUUGACCGCCUGGGGGGAUACGGUCGCAAGAUAAAACUCAAAGGAAUUGACGGGGACCCGCACAAGCGGUGGAUGAUGUGGAUUAAUUCGAAUGCAACGCGAAAAACUGCUACCUUGACAUGUCUGGAAUCCGAAGAGAUUUGGGAGUGCUCGCAAGAGAACCGGAACACAGGUGCUGCAUGGCUGUCGUCCGGCCGUGUCGUGAGAGAUGGUAGGUUGAUCCCGCGACGAGCGCAACCCUUAUCAUUAGUUGCUACGAAAGGGCACUCUAAUGAGACUGCCGGUGACAAACCGGAGGAAGGUGGGAGAUGACAUUCAAGUCCUCAUGGCCCUUAUGGUGGGCUUCACGUCGUACAAUGGUCAGGACGAAAAGAUUACUCUUACAAGGACUUGGAAGACAGUCUCGGAAAUGAAUGUGAAUGGAUCUUUGAAGUCUGCAACUCGCUUCGCAUGAAGUGUCAGGUGUGACAAUCUUUUAAAGAUCACUUCUGUGCGUGAUGAACUUUGGAGAUAUCUUCUUCUGUAUAUUCAGGUGGUUUUGCAGGCGAUUAAGCACCACCUUACCAAGAUUU